Molecule: ribosomal RNA, 48 nt
Filed under: Chenopodium album (lamb's quarters)
Lineage: Eukaryota; Viridiplantae; Streptophyta; Magnoliopsida; Caryophyllales; Amaranthaceae
Source: RNAcentral
GCGAUCAUUCCAGCACUAAUGCACCGGAUCCCAUCAGAACUCCGCAGU